RNAcentral lists this ribosomal RNA (253 nucleotides) under uncultured bacterium. Its description in RNAcentral is "partial 16S ribosomal RNA". It matches the Rfam family "Bacterial small subunit ribosomal RNA", at positions 524 to 776 of the family's 1533-position model. The record is from RNAcentral.
UACGUAGGGUGCAAGCGUUAUCCGGAUUCACUGGGUUUAAAGGGUCCGUAGGCGGGCAAGUAAGUCAGUGGUGAAAUCCUUGGGCUCAACUCAAGAAUUGCCAUUGAUACUACUUAUCUUGAAUGCGGUUGAAGUGAGCGGAAUAUGUCAUGUAGCGGUGAAAUGCUUAGAUAUGACAUAGAACACCAAUUGCGAAGGCAGCUCACUAAGCCGACAUUGACGCUGAGGGACGAAAGCGUGGGGAUCAAACAGG